UAAAUUGAAGCUGGCAAAAAUUUUCUAGAUUGUACACAAAAAGUUUCAUGCCAAUCCAAGGUCUGGAAGUAUUUUUCUCAAAAAAUUUUCCAACAUUGAG
Long non-coding RNA from Ipomoea nil (Japanese morning glory), 100 nucleotides. RefSeq lists it as uncharacterized. NCBI's taxonomy places the organism in Eukaryota, Viridiplantae, Streptophyta, Magnoliopsida, Solanales, Convolvulaceae. The transcript is spliced from 4 exons. The record is from RefSeq and is a predicted model, not a curated record.